RNAcentral lists this long non-coding RNA (1573 nucleotides) under Oncorhynchus kisutch (coho salmon). Its description in RNAcentral is "lncRNA (ENSOKIG00005046835.1)". The record is from RNAcentral. Lineage: Eukaryota; Metazoa; Chordata; Actinopteri; Salmoniformes; Salmonidae.
CAAUAAGAACACUGAGCAUGUGGCAGCUUCACAUUCCUUAUUGUCCUCCCAAGCUCACCCAUUGGCUACAGACUGUGAGAAACUCCAACAAGCCCAAGACACACACUUUCAUAUGGAGAUUAGGGACUAUAUAUAGGAGAGGUGAAGCCAGUAGAAAUAACUCUACACAGAGACCUCUACAGCACAGGGAUCCAGCCAUGGAGCCUACAAUCACUUCAGCAAUGAUCUACUAUAAGGACCACCUGACUGACCAAAAAGAAAGACAGUGGUGGGGAAGUUAUUCAGAGAUCGUAUCAACAGCAGCAUUGAGCGGCUCAAGUCUCUCCUGGGUCCAGAGAUCCUCAAUCAGCAAAACAACUUCAAGUUGGAGAAAGAAGACAUCCUAGAAAUGAGUUUGCUUCCUGAGAGGACGGCAACACAUCCAGCGAGUGAGCUCCUCCUCAUGCUCAGCACCUGUCAAUCAGGGUUACUCCAGAUGUGUCCAAGAGAUUGUACACUUCUUGUCCAAGGAUGAGGUGAAGACACAUCCCAGAGAAGAUUGCUGAGCCACUUCCAGAUACUUCAGCCAUCCUCUGAUAAGAACAGAAGGGAGAGUGACCUGCCUCAGGCAACAGCAAAGAGAAGAGUCCAGUCAGCAGCGUCCAUUGGAGGCCCUGGUAGAGUCCUACAGACUGGAGCUCCACUCAUAGAGAAAACCUAUGGAUCACGUUGGUCUAAGAAUAAUGGCAUUAUUGUCAUGGACACGAAUGAAAAUAGGAAGAGAUCUUCUUUAUCUUCUGCUCAUGCAGGAGUUUCUAAAAGUCUUGCUCUGAUUGAGACUGUUCAUUUCAGUUUUACUGAAGAAGUUUUUCUAAGAAAAUGAUCCAUACUAUGAAAACUACAUUUUUGUAGUGUGAUGGUUUUAUAUAAUGAAUAACCUUUAUGUUUUCUAAAGUGUGUUGAUUAUGUUGAAUGGUUGUUCAUGAGCAACAUCAACUUUAAAAGUCCUCUAUGACUUUUACACAAACUUUUGGUGAUUGUCUAAUGAUCUGUUUUAAGGUCAAAUCUUAGAGAAUAAGCAAUUGUUUCCACUACAUUUGUGUACUGAUAUAGUUUUAUUUACAUUGUAUUGAGCAUCUUAUAUGAAACAUGUAUUAGUUAUCCAUUUGAUAAUGAUGGACCUAAGCUACAGCAUCACUGUUCCUCCAUGAUGAUUAUUUAGCCAAGCUGGGUAUUAUACCUGUAAUCAUCACUCUGUGAUAAGCAAUACUCUGAUUUAAGAUCAAACUUGUCAAUUUUAUUUCAUGAUGUUUUGUGAUAUGAUAAAACAUGAUAAAACAUUACCGGAAUGUGUCUAUUGCAGAUUGAUGAAAGCUGUCUCCAAACUCUUGUUUAUUAUCAACAAUCCAGUGUGUCUUUUGUAAAGACAGUAAAUGUAGCCUAUAUCCCCCAUACUAUUGUCUGGCAGCCCAUACUCUGUCAGAGUAAGACUUGGAGAUUUAUCCAAGUUCUGUUAGUGAUGUUUAAUCACUUUGCACAACUCAUUGAGUAAAUUUUUUAUAAAUACAAAGUCAACCAAAUUAAAAAAAAAAUA